AAUGAUCCAAUGUAAACAGCAAAAUUCAAACUAGAAUCCCAGCAUCAAGAGUAUGAAUCGUUCGGAUUCAAUUUAAUCACAUACCACAGGGCAAAGUAUUUACAAACACUCUUAAAUUUUUAGACCAAAAUGAUAGCCAUUGAAAUGGCUAAAACGCCCUUGACAGCUUUACUGAAAAGCUACUAUGUCCACACACUACACCAAAACUUAAAACAUGACCAAUUCGUCCAAAUAUUACACCACAGUUUAAUAAUCAUUCUAUCUCAAUUCUACACCAGCACUU
Molecule: long non-coding RNA, 283 nt
Filed under: Lathyrus oleraceus (garden pea)
Lineage: Eukaryota; Viridiplantae; Streptophyta; Magnoliopsida; Fabales; Fabaceae
Description: Pisum sativum (pea) long non-coding RNA (PSAT_LNC033855)
Source: RNAcentral